RNAcentral lists this ribosomal RNA (361 nucleotides) under uncultured bacterium. Its description in RNAcentral is "bacterial SSU rRNA". It matches the Rfam family "Bacterial small subunit ribosomal RNA", at positions 28 to 386 of the family's 1533-position model. The record is from RNAcentral.
GAUGAACGCUAGCGGCAGGCCUAAUACAUGCAAGCCGAACGGUAAGUUGAGUAGCAAUACUUGACCUAGAGUGGCGUACGGGUGCGUAACACGUAUGUAACCUACCCUUUACAGGAGUAUAGCUCGGGGAAACUCGGAUUAAUCCUCCAUAAGAUGACAGCACGGCAUCGUGUAGUCAUAAAAAUUUCGGUGGUAAAGGAUGGACAUGCGCAUGAUUAGCUAGUUGGAGGUGUAACGGACCCCCAAGGCGAUGAUCAUUAGGGGAACUGAGAGGUUGAUCCCCCACACUGGCACUGAGAUACGGGCCAGACUCCUACGGGAGGCAGCAGUAGGGAAUAUUGGUCAAUGGGUGAGAGCCUGA